UCGUUCUGGUUAACUACAGUCUAUGGCCCGACCGACGACGCAGGCAAAGAGGCCUUCCUAGCCGAGAUCACAAACUCCGCCCCGCCUUGCUCUGAGCCAUGGAUUAUCAACGGUGACUUCAACCAAAUUUACGAGGCUAGGGAGAAGAACAACCUCAACCUAAAUAGGAGGCUCAUGGGACGCUUUAGGGCCGCCUUAGAUAGAGUCGGACUACGCCAAAUCAAAUGCGGAAACCGCAAGUUCACCUGGAGCAACGAGCGCGACAACCCAACAAUGGUGGGCAUCGACAAGUUCUUCUGCAAUGCACUGUGGGAAACUUUGUUCCCCCUAACAAUGCUGCUGGCUGCUUCCACGGCAUGCUCCGACCACUGCCCGCUACUGCUC
This 384-nucleotide ribosomal RNA is filed under the name Triticum aestivum (bread wheat). RNAcentral's name for it is "partial small subunit ribosomal RNA". Lineage: Eukaryota; Viridiplantae; Streptophyta; Magnoliopsida; Poales; Poaceae. The record is from RNAcentral.